This 65-nucleotide transfer RNA is filed under the name Asteronotus hepaticus. RNAcentral's name for it is "tRNA-Leu". The record is from RNAcentral. Lineage: Eukaryota; Metazoa; Mollusca; Gastropoda; Nudibranchia; Asteronotidae.
UGUGAAAUGGCAGAACCAAUGCGUAAACUUUAAGCGUUUAUUAUGACUAUUUUGGUCUUUCACAA